Molecule: long non-coding RNA, 1039 nt
Organism: Haliotis rubra (blacklip abalone)
Lineage: Eukaryota; Metazoa; Mollusca; Gastropoda; Lepetellida; Haliotidae
Exons: 2
Source: RefSeq, a predicted model, not a curated record
AUGUUACCUUUCUAGUCUCCAUUAUCACUCUUUGCUGAUAUUACCUUUGACAUCUAUGUUAUGGCUCCAUGCUGAUGUUACCAUUCUAGUCUCCAUUAUUUCUCCAUGCUGAUGUUACCUUUCAGGUCUUUGCUAUUGCUCGAUUCUGAUGUUACCAUUGUGGUCUUCAUUAUCACUCCUUGCUAAUAUUUCCUUUGACAUCUAUGUUUUGUCUCCAUGCUGAUGGCACCAUUCAGGUCUUUGUUAUGGCUUCCUGCUGAUGGCACCAUUCAGGUCUUUGUUAUGGCUUCCUGCUGAUGGCACCAUUCAGGUCUUUGUUAUGGCUUCCUGCUGAUGUUACCAUUCAGGUCUUUGUUAUGGCUUCCUGCUGAUGUUACCAUUCAGGUCUUUGUUAUGGCUUCCUGCUGAUGGCACCAUUCAGGUCUUUGUUAUGGCUUCCUGCUGAUGGUACCAUUCAGGUCUUUGUUAUGGCUUCCUGCUGAUGGCACCAUUCAGGUCUUUGUUAUGGCUUCCUGCUGAUGGUACCAUUCAGGUCUUUGUUAUGGCUUCCUGCUGAUGGUACCAUUCAGGUCUUUGUUAUGGCUUCCUGCUGAUGGUACCAUUCAGGUCUUUGUUGUCACCCCAUGAAUGUUACCAUUGUGGUGUUGAUUUUGACCACAUUGUAAUUUUACCAUGAAGAGGUUUCAGUAUAGCUAAUUGCUGAUGUUUAAUGUUGAGUGAAAGACAUUGCAUACGUUACAUUUUGGACACAACAUUUCUGGAGAUGUUUUCUUCUUUGUUUUUAUUUGACUCAGAGACGUUAGUUGACACUUCACUGUGUCACAAACUUUACCAUUCCUGUACUGUUAAAAGCUUGAUGAAAUCAUAUAUAAUAUGGCCGAUUACUUAACUGGAACUUCAUCUAAGCUGCUCAUAAAUGUUUUGUUAUAUUUUAAUAAUUUUACACACAACAUUUAAUCCAAUUGUCUUUCAGUAUCUUGAGGCUUCCAUGCAAUUGCUUCAUUUGUAUUUUCUCCUGAAUAAAUUUGAAUACAAGUAA